This 11111-nucleotide long non-coding RNA is filed under the name Cicer arietinum (chickpea). RNAcentral describes it as "long non-coding RNA (CARI_LNC000786)". Lineage: Eukaryota; Viridiplantae; Streptophyta; Magnoliopsida; Fabales; Fabaceae. The record is from RNAcentral.
AAAUUCAAUCUGAUUUAUGUUAGAGAAGGAAAAGUGAUGCUCACAUAUUUACCGGUGCGAUCAAGUUUCCAACUCUAGUCUUUAACUCAACUUUGUAUACAAAGCAAAUUAAAAUGUUAUUUUUUAUGUAAAAAUAAAUUUCAUUAAGUAGUUAAGCAAUUAAGCUAAAAGAGGUAGUACAAUGAGGAAAAUUCUCAAUCCAUGUCGAGUGUAUGAGAUCUAUAGCAAAAUGAAUUAAAUAAUAAACAAAAAUGUUCGAAGUCCAUUUAACAUAAUUUCAAAUAAAAAAAAAAUGAUUGUUAAUCUUUUGACAAUUAACUAUUCUCAAACCAAAAUGGAAUAAAACUUAGGUUUUUGUAUGCAUUCUUUGGACCACAUUAUGAGAUUCUCUUUCAAAUACGUAAAGUGAAGAUUUAGUUUCAAAUUCAAUUUUUUAUAAUAUCAUAUUCUAAAAAUGUCUCAAAACACCAAUUGACUACAACCACCAGUGAUCCAUUAAAGCAGAAACAAUUGCUUUACCACCUCAUUUAUGAUUCACAUGGCCAUCUUUAUGGACGUUAACUUAAUAAAAAAGACAAUAUAAGGGUAGACCAACGCGAUGUCGAAAUAAAGACUUUUACCUAGGAAUUUAAAUCAUGAGCGUUUAAUAUACUAUUGUGGUUCUCAAAGACACUAUAAAUUUUAUAGGUAAUGUUAGAUAUAAUUUUUUUUUUCUUUAAAGUUGUAUGCCUUUGUUUCUAGCAUAGCAAAUACCAUAACAUAAAGAUAAUACAAAACUUAUUUUGUCAUCUGUUUUGACUAGAAAAUUAGUAUUCUUCAAAACAAAUACUCAAAAGAGACUAGAACCAUGUCUCUUUUGACCAAAUUUAUCUUAAAAAAAGAGGUCAAUAUCUUCCUCAGUCAAACCACGUAUGGGACAAAAAUGCUCCAACAUCAUGCCUUCAUUGAUAGCUUUCUUUUUUGUUGGGAGGCUAUCUUUCAAAGCCUAGCAAACUAAGUGAAAAUGUUUGGGAAUUGUUUUUGGCUUUCAUAGUUUUGACCAAAUUUUUGAUUGCACUUAUUAGUGAGACUCCCCAUGUAGUUCAAUAUUGUGCAUUUGUCUAAUAGCAUAAUGCACACUUUUAGCCAAAAAAAAAAAUACACUUUUUAUGAGAGUCCAAAAACAUAAUGUUUGUUUGAUUUAAAUUAGAGAUAAAUAUCUGAAUGAUCUGAGAAGUUUUAAAAGAUAGAAUUGAAUUGAUUAACGGAAUAUUUCAAGUUUCAAUAUUAUGUAAAAUGAGUUAAAAUUCCAGUGAAAGAUAUGAGGUAUAAGGAUUAGAAUACCAAACCUUUUAACUAUUUUGAAGAGAUAACUAAUUAUUCUCUCGAAUAUUUAUAAGAUGUCCAGUUCUCAUUCGCCAUAUACAACCUUUGUAAGAAUCCAUAAAAGCCUCGUGAAUACUUCUACAGAUAUAACUAGACCACAAGUAAUGUAGUCGAGCCUUUAACACAUUGUUACUCUUAACAAAUUUUCACCUAAUAGAGUAUUUAAUUAGCUAACUAUUUUCAAUCAAAUUCAUCCACAAAUAAUAAUGUGUUUUUUUUUACUAAUUGCUUACAAUUAUCUUUUUUCCUAUAUAUUUUUAUGUAUACCAUGGAUCCUACUCUAUUAUUAAUAAGUGUAUAACAAUAUAUAAAAUACAUAAAUAAGUUAUAAAUUAUAAAAUUACACUAAAAAAUAUAAUAAAAUAUAUACAAAUAUUAGCGCUAAAAAAAUGAAUUGACGGUCACAUUAUUGCUUGUCUUCAUGCUAAUUUACAUAAAAUACAUAUAUAAAUAUUUUAUUUUAAAAAGUUGGGUUUAUGUCCGAAGAUGGGUGAGUAUCAACGCCCCUUUAUCGACAUAUAAUAGUGAAAAAUAUCAAAAUUCACGCCAAUGUGUGCAUAUUAUUUCUAGUUAAAUUUGAGUAGUAUGUUGAAAAUGAAUUUUCUAUCAUAGUAUUUGUUAAAAAAUUAAUGUGAAUCAUUAUCAUUUACAAAAAUUAUAAAUUGUAGUUUUUAAAAAAUUACACCAACUCACCAUGAUUUUAACAAACUUAAGAUGAUAUCAAUAAUUUCCUCAAAACAUUUUUGCAUAUGAAAAUUAUAAUCCACUUUCUACCGAUAAAUUUAAAAUAUGAAUUAUUCGAUUUUUAUCUAGUGAUAAAAAAUGACUUAUAUAUUUCUUUAACAAAAUAUAAUAAUGUAGAUACCUUUUUGUGAAAGUGGAUUGGGCUUGUCAUAAUCCGUUUUCACAUUGCUUCUAUCUCUUUAACAUGGUCCCCACUUUUGGAAAAAUCAUGGUUCUUGGAACUGAUCUUAUUUCUUUUGUCAUUCAUACCCCCUAGCUCUCUUGGCCUAAUCUCUUCACCACAUGGCGACAAAAAUCCCACAACCAUAAAAUGCCUUCCAUUCUCCCAAUCCAAAAAAUUUCAAUCCUCCUCUUUCUUUCCCUUUUCUAUACUUAACAACAAGUUUGGUUUUUUUUUUUUUUUUUUGUCUUUGUCUUCACACACCCUUCACCAAACCCCUCAAUAUUUUGCUAUACCAAAACAUGGGAACCCCACAGUCCAAUUUGCCACCAGGUUUUAGGUUCCACCCAACUGAUGCAGAGCUUAUACUUCACUACCUUAGGAAGAAAAUUGCCUCCAUUCCCUUGCCUGUUUCCAUCAUUGCUGAAGUUGAUAUUUACAAGUUGGAUCCAUGGGAAUUACCAGGUUUGUAUUCUAUAUAUCUUCUCUACUUUAUAAUAAAUAAUUAUAUAUAUACAUAUAUAUAUAUACCAUGUCACAUUCUUGAACUAUCAAAUCGCUGCUAAAAGUUUGAUAUGGUAAACUCAACAAAAAAAAAUUCAAAUUUUCUAAAAGCAAAUUUUAAAAUAAUUAUUAAUAUCACUUUAAUUAAUAAUUUCUUAUUCUCCAAUAUUUUUUUAUAAAAAUGAUACCAUGUAAAGUCGGAGUAAGUGAUGUGUAUAAUUUAAAUUUAAAUCUCAAAGUUAUUAUAAAUUAAUAAUGUAUGAUGUGGAAGCUUAAUUUAGUUUGGGUUUUUGUGGAUUUCUUUAUUUCUUUCUAUUAACAGCAAAGGCUUCAUUUGGUGAGAAAGAAUGGUACUUUUUCAGUCCAAGAGAUAGAAAGUACCCAAAUGGUGCAAGGCCAAACAGGGCAGCUGCUUCAGGGUAUUGGAAGGCUACUGGCACUGACAAGACCAUAGUGGCAUCAUUGCCAAGUGGAGGGAGAAGGUCACAUGACAACAUUAUUGGUGUCAAAAAAGCUCUUGUUUUCUACAAAGGAAAACCCCCAAAGGGUGUUAAGACUAAUUGGAUCAUGCAUGAAUAUCGCCUUGUAGAUAACAACAAACCUAUUAAGCUCAAAGAUUCCUCCAUGAGGGUGAGUGUCCCAAACAACAAAACAUGUUUGAUACAAUCAAAUUUUUACAUUUGUUGUCAUCAUUAAUAUUGUAAAAAAUUACAGUCAAAUACAACUAAUGUAACCACAAUCACAAUAAUGUUGCAAUCUAGCAGAGAAGUCAAAAAAAUAAAUGUUGAUGUCGUCAUUAGAUUGUAGUCGCAAAUUUCUUUAUUUUUAAAAGUCUAUUACAAAUUAUGUUAAUUAAAUUAAUGUAAUUAUUGUGAUUGUGCAGUUGGAUGAUUGGGUACUAUGCCGAAUUUACAAGAAAUCAAAAUGUGCACUAUCUUUAACAGAGGCAGAAACAAUGGUAGGUGAUGUAGAUCAAGCAAAAGAGACCCAAAUAAAGGACACCCUUUUCCAAAUCACAAAAAAUUCAACCUCUCCUAAUCAAAACACACUUAUGUCUCAAAAAUCAAUGUCAUUCUCCAACCUUUUAGAUGCUAUGGACUAUUCCAUGUUAAGCAGCUUCUUAUCUGAAAACCAUUCUAACCCAUCAGGAAUUGGAUCAAGUACAAGUUUCAACACUGAAAAUUUUAAUCAACCAUCCUCACAAAUCAACACCAACAACAAUUACAUGUUUCAGAAGAACACUUCAAAGCAACAACUUUCAAACAUAGAUGAAGACACUUUAUUAUACCAAUCAAAGAAAUACUUGAAUUCCUCUUGCAAUUUCCCUAACAUUAAUUCCCAAUACGAGAAUUACCUCAUGAAGCAAUCUCUAUUGAAUCAACAAUUGAUUCUAGGACCUCACCUCCAAUUUCAAGGCUAAUCCAAAAACACCACAAAAAUUAAGUGGUGCCCAAAAAAUAAUAAACUUUAGAUAAUAGAAACAGUUAAUUAAUUAGUAAAAUUUCUAGAAGUUGGACCCACAAAAGAACAAAUGUCAUAAUUAAUUAAGGAUUACUAGUAGUAGUACAUAAAGUAUAGUGUUUAUUUUUUUUCAUUUUAAUUUGUACUAGGAAUUGAAGGAGGGGUUAGGAAGUGUUUGGUAGGGAAUCAAAAUAAAGAUUCCAGCUCAAUAAUAAAUUGUGAAAAGAAAAUAUCAAAAUUUUAUGACCAAUCAGAAGCAGUCGUGUACAAAAUGUUAAUUUGUUCGUGUGUUGUUGGGGUUGGCAAGUUAGCUUUUUAAUAUAUACUCUGCAGAUAAGUAUUGUACUGAUUGUGAUGAUAUUUUUCAUUCUUUUUUCGGAAAAAGCUAGCUUUAAAUUUUUCUUUUUUAUUUGGAUUUGUAUUGCAACUAUUCGCUACUUCACUAUGUUUAACACUGCACCUUUAUCUUUAUUGUUCUUGCCGUUUAAAUUCACAUGCUUUGAACCAUUACACACACCAUUAUUGAAGCAAAUAUAAAUUGAACCUACAAAUUAAUCAAUCAAUUGAAUAUCCAAUUAAAUAUAUAACUUAUAUAAAAAAUACACAUAAACUACAGAUUAUAUUUAUACCAAUAGGGCAAGCUAUUAUAUGUAUGUAUCUUAGGUUUCGUUUACUUUAUGCAAAAUAUUAUAUGUUUUCAUUUUUAAAAAGUGUGUAUAUUAUCUAUUGAAGUGAAUUAUUAUUAUUUUUAAAUCUAAAAUAUAAUAAGAUAAACUAUUUAGAUCACAAAAAGUGACCCAAAUAGAAAAACAACAUACAAAGGUCAAUCGUCAAGAGUGUUCAACACAUAUUCUACAACGUCAACUUCUUCAAACACUACAAGUUAACUACACUACAAUCAACCAUCUUGAAGCAUUUUACUUUUAUUGAAUAAGUAAGAGAAAAAUGAGCAUGAUAAUUAAUCUAGAUAGGAACGCUACAUAAACAUAAAACCACCGCAAAACUACCACCAUACUUUUCUAAGAAAUAGACAAUGUACAAAUAAAUAUUGUAACAAUUCUACGCUACAGCUACUAACACACAUUUGCGACACAUCAGACAACACAUUAUGCUGAAUCAAAUUAGACUUUGAACAUCUACUUUAAAAUUAUUGUUAAUCAGAUAAGAUAAAAUAUUAAUUAAUAAAAAUGCAUUUUUGAAAAUAAUAAAAAACAAAUUUUUGAUAAUUUUAUUAUUUCUAAAAAUAUAAAUAAUUAUUCAAUUUAAAAAUCAUAAAUAAAUAUAUAUAUAUAUAUUACUAAAUAAAAAUAACACAAAUUUUUAAAAAUAAAAAUAGAAGAACUCUUAUUUAUUUAUUCGUACGAUUAUUUUCACUAUUUUAUCUUGUAAGCCAAAGUCCAUGACUUAAUUGUGCUACAUUUUGAGUGUAUAAUAAUGCGCAGCCAAGUCCAACUUCGCUACAUAUCACAUGCCUUGUGAUUGCACACACGCAUGCAAAAGUUUUAUACAAUAGUAUAAUUUGUAUAUAUAGUUAAUGUUUAAAAUAAUUUACAUAUAAUAAUGAAUUACUUUAUAAAUAAUUAUAAUAAAAGUUAAUAAUAUCAUUCAAUUUUAUAAAAAAUAAUAGUAAAAAUUAAAUAUUAUUAAUUAUUUAAUAAUUGUAAUUAAUUGAUAAAAUAAAAAUUAUAUAUAUAUAUGGACAAAUUGAAAAGUGGAUCAUUUUAUUAUUUCAACCACUUUUUUUACUAGCUACUAUUUAACUAGCUUAUACGAUGAGAAAAUUGUCUAGUUUAAUUGUAAUAGGAUAACACUAUGCAUUCGAUUGGAAUCGCAAAAUUAAUAAUGGUUUCACCGACUUUUUUCAACAAUGAUAUAAUUUUCUAUAGGCUCUAAUAUAUGUUGCACUAUUAAGUUUUGCGUUUUUAUUUUAUUUUUGUUUUUAUAACUUUUUUAAAUUUAAUCAUAAAAGUUUAAUUUUAUUUUAAAAUUAUCUUCUUAGUGACUAUUAAAAAAGCUGACAUGACAAAUAAAUAAGGGGUAUAAAAAAAAUGUGUAAGUAUAUAUGGAUCAACCAUAUAUAUUUUUUUUUGGAAGUUCAUAAUUUUUCUUUUAGUUUUUAAUCCAUUUUGUCAUGUCAAUUUUUUAAAACAGUCACUAGAAACUAUUUAAAAAAUAAAUAAAUUUAUAUGAUUAAAUUAAAAAAAAUAACCAAGACAAUUUUUUUUUUUUUAAAAAAAAACACUAACUUAUAAAAAUCAAAUAAUAUUCCACGAGGGUAAUCCUUAUCUCUAACUCCUUCUCACAUGCUCUUUGAUUAAUUAUUGGUUGUUAGUGUUAAGUGUGUUACUUGUUUUUAUGUAAGAUUUUAGUUAAAAAUUGUGUUUUUUUUUUUAAUAAAAGUUGCAAGAAGCAUUGAUUGCUUUUUUUCAUAAAAAUGUUUAAAAUUAAAUUAAAACUCGUCAUUUUUUUCUUAAUGAAAGAACAGUUUUAAAAAGAAAAUGCUCAAUAUUGUUAACAUAUUUAAUUUGAAAACCAUUUUUCUAAAUUCUGGUGCAUCUAGUGAAUAAGUGGAUUGUGACUCUUUAGUUAACCGUAUGUACAUUGAUUGAAUAAGGGCUAAGAGCACAAUGAGAUUGCUUGCUGUGGUCAUCAAACUUCAAUUAUUUCAAUCCACUUUAUCUCUUAAACAGAGACUUUCAAUCCAAUUGCACAUGACCUUAAAUUUUUUUAUAUAAAAAGUAUUAGAAAGAUAAUUUUUUUUAAGUAGUUAGAAGUUUAAUGUUAGUUUGAAAUUGUAUUAAAAUAUUAUUUAUAAUUUAAAUUUUUAAAUAUCUUGUAUUCAUUUGAUUAGAAAUCUAACUUUUAAUAUUAAUACAAGAUCUCCAGAAUAUUUGAAACAGUUAUGCUAUUCAUCGUCCUUUUCUCUUAGUUCUACGCAAAAGGCAUGCAAACUUUCGUUAAUAAUCCAAAAAUCUAUAAUUAUUCUCAUUGCAAGGAAGAAAUAAUAAACAAAAGGCGAAAAGUUAGAACCUACAACAAAAAAACGAAAAAUAAGAUGUUUUUUUUCACAAUACACGCUCAAAGUAGUUGCCAACGUAAGCUAAAUAACAAACAUGAAUAACUUAACAAUCAUGAUGUAUGAGAAUACUAGUAGAUGUGGUUGAAGUCCUAUGUAUGGAAUGGCAAUUUAAUGUGGAGGGAUGGUUUACAAAUGUUAGGAAUCUUGAUUGGGGUGAUGGAAAGAGUUUUUAUGGUACAUUUAUUAAUCAAAGGAUUUUGGUAUAUUCUUUUUAUAAAUUAAUUAAUUAAUGACCAUUUUUAUUAAUAAAAAAACUAUUUAAUAACUUUUAGGUUUUAGAAAGUAUUAUUUCGCUGUUUAUAAAUAUUAUAUUAAUUUUUUACAUUUUAUCGUAAAAACAUUCAAUAUUUUCUAUUAUUCAAUUUUAAACUGAAAAUCAAUUUAAUUCAAUUUUUUUAAACUAAAAAUUAAUUCAAUUCAAUUUUUAAAUAGUUCUAAUUAAAAUUCAAAAUAGAACUUUGUCUAUCCCUAGUUGUAUAUGCAUUAUAUAGGUUUAAUUGUGAUCCAUGCAUGCUCCCUUGAUCCCUAGUUGUAUAUGCAUUAUAUAGGUUUAAUUGUGAUCCAUGCAUGCUCCCUUAAUUUACUUCACCUGCAUAUACUAUUUUCAACACCAAACACAAGGAGGAAAGACACAAGACGGUGACAACAUGUGCUCUUGCCUCUUGGUGAUGCAUAUAUGAUCACAUCGGUGUUUAGAUCGGUGAAGUUUGCCGUUCGUACGAUUAAUAGGAAAUUUAAUCCAUACACUUUAGCAUUGAAAACUGUUUAUUAUCACGACAAAAAAUAUUAACAAAACAUAAAUAAUUAUGUGUUAUUAUUUAAUUUGACUGUUUCAAUUUACUAUUUGGUAUAUAGAUAGCUUAGAAUUUUUAUUUAAAUAUCAUUUUUAUUUUAUUUUAUACUAAAUUGCCACACCUUAAAAUAAAAAUACUAAAAUACUCUAGUAAAAUAAAUUAAACAGUAGAAAAAAAAUGCGGUUGAUUAGAUGUGCGUAAACAAAUAACGUGUUAUAUUAUUUUAAGAAUUUUAUGUUAUUUUAUAGAUUAAUUAAAUUAUUUUAAUAAUUGUCUCCUGUUUUAUAAAUAAAUUAACAACUUAAUUAUAUUUUGUUAACGACUUCCUCCUUUUUUGUUCGGAUCAUAUAAAUAAAAAUUAAUAAAAAUAAUGAAAAUGAUAAUAAAGUAAAUUAUAUUAAUUAAAUAAAAUUAAUUAAAUUGAACAAACAAUACAUUAAAUUAAAGAAAAAAAAUACCACCAAUUGAAAAUAAAACAUCAAAUUUUUAUAUUAAUAUUAAAAUAAUUAUUUUAAUUAUAAUUAUUUUUAUUUAUUAGAUCCAAAAAUAAAAGGAAGUUGUUAAUAAAAUUAAAUUAAAUGACUAAUUUAUCUGAAAAAUAAGAAAUAGUUGUUAUAAUAAUAUAAAUUUAUCUACAAAAUAGAAUCAAGUUGAAGAAAAAAUAUAUUAUAUUUUAAAUUAAUGAUAUUUCGGAUCGCAGAUUCGAGAAACAAUCUCCUGAAAAUUUUAAAAAAUAGAACAUAUUUAUAUAUUUUUUUCAAUGUAGAAGAAUAUGGUUACUUUUCUAAAAAAUAGAAAUAUAUUAAUAAUUGUCCGGCUUUUUUCAUUUUAGCUUUUGUAAUUUAUUUGUGAAAAAACUUAUAUACUAUAUAAUAUAGUAGUGCUGCUUCACCAUUACUCUUUAUUUAUAUUAGCCACCAAAUAAGUUAAAAAAAUUAUCCAACAGUUAUUAAUGUAUUUUUGAAUUAAAUAACUUUUUGACACAAAAUUGAUUCAAAUCAAACUUCAAACACAUAUUAAUCCAAAUUAUUUUAUUUUCCUAAAAUUAGAAAUUUUUUGGCGGCAACAAUUCUAUAAAUGGUAAAGGCAGCGAUUGUAGAUGAUGAUUAUUUAGUAACGGUGGAUUUUUCUUUCCUCUAAUUGACAUGUUAUAGUAAUUAAAUAAGAUAAAAUAUGAGAAAAAUUUAAUCCAAAUAAAAAAUUUGAAAUAAAAAAGUUACAAAAUAUAAUUGCAAAUUCUACAAAUCAUACGAUGGCGCACUAAAAAAAAAACAACUUAUAGGAAUUUGUAAUUAAUUCAUAUUUAAGAGAUUUGGAGUAUCUACAAAUAUUAUAUCACUAUUAAUUUUUAUUGAUAUAAUUAAAGUUUUAAUUUUAUUAUGUUUUAUUAAUUUAUGUAAUUUUUAUAUGUGUUAUUAACGUGUUUUUAAUUUUUCAAUUAUUACUAUUUUUAUUUUAAAAUAAAUAAAAUUCAUUUUUCUGGAAAAAGAAAAAAUUAUUCCACAAUUAAAACUGUUAGAUUUAAACUGAAAAACUCGUAUUAAUUGAUCUAUGUUCUAACUACUCAACAGAUCUUUUGUAAAAAAGAAUAUAUACAAGUGAUGUAUCAUUAAUUUAUGUGGACACACAAAGACUAUGAAAUUAAGAAAAUAUAGGAUAGACAUGUAUUAACAAAAGAACAAGAAAUAAAGAAAGUUACGUGAUAUAUUGGCAAUGUAAUAAAAAAAGAAAUAAAAAGAAAAUAAAAUUUUAAUUAUUUAUGUGAAAGUUGUUUUAAAAUAGAUUGUCUAAAGGAUAUUUUGUUUCGUUAAAGAAUAAUUUAUUUUAAAGAUCAACAAUGUGUAGUAGGUUGUAGAGAAGUUGAAAUACUCUAUCAUUUAUUUUAUUGGUGUGUCAUCUUUUUGGAUCUGUGUGAUACAAUAUUUUGAAUUAAUUUGGAUUAUUAGGUGUAUUUUUUAUGCAAUCAAUCAUGCUAACCAAUUUGAUAUCUUUUUUCAUGCGGUCGUAUAAUGUGUCAAAUAAUUAAUUUAGUUUUGUUUGUAUAGACGAUUUAAAAAUUAAAAAAACGAUUUUUCUUUAACAUAUUUUGAAUACAAAUUUUAUUAUUGACUAGAUUAAACUUUUUAUAUAAAGAUAUGUAAAAAAAAUUUAUUAUAAGUAUAAUUAAUGAUACUCUCACUCUUGAUGUAUAUAAGAUGUGCUUAAUUAUUUUAUUUGAAUAAUUUAGUUUGUAUUUUGAAUUUUUGUUUAAUUGUAUAAUAAAAAAUUGUAAUUUUUGUUUGAUUUUGUAUUUAAAAUGUUUUUAUAAUGUAUUUAUUUUUGAUUUAUUAAAAAGAUAAAUGAGUAUAGAAAAAUGAAGGUUUAGAUAGAGAGAAGGUUUAUCUAUACAAAGUUAAGAAAGUCCAAAUUAAUGGUGAUUGGUCCAGCCUAUAGUAUUUGAUUUAAUCGUCGACAUAUUUUAUAUAUAAAAAAAGAAAAAGAAAAAGAAAACUAAGCUUGAGCAGUAAGCAGAAGGAAAAGCAGGGUUUUAAUUUCUCCCUAGUCCAAUCCAGUAAGAAUCAAAAGAAAGAUCAGAAAAAAUGGAGUGGAAUGAUGGUCAUAAUCAUAAUAACUCUUCUAACGUAACCCACACUCACCACCACCACCGUAGAAACGAAGACGAAGAAUACCCUCCACCUGGAAACAACAACAACUUCUCUCCUUUCAACAACCACCACCAACAACCACCCAUCUACACCGACUCAUACCCACCGCCACAAGAAACACAAGUCUUCCACUCAUCUCACGUCUCAUCAGGACACGUGUCCCAUGACAACUACAAUCACUCACCCCCUCAUCAUCAACAACCUGCCUUCACUCCCAACUACGGAUACGCACCUCCACCCCCAUCCGCACCUCAUCACACCUCCCCUCCAUUCUCAAACACUUCCGUCCACCACGUUUCUCAUGAAAUCCACGAUCCUCAUUUUCCUACCACCGCUGUUCACCAUGUCGACCAUCAGGU